AGAGUUUGAUCCUGGCUCAGAACUAACGCUGGCGGCGUGCCUAACACAUGCAAGUCGUACGAGAAAGUCGGCUUCGGCUGAUGAGUAAAGUGGCGCACGGGUGAGUAACGCGUGGAUAAUCUGCCUUUUAGUUGGGAAUAACGUACCGAAAGGUGCGCUAAUACCGGAUAAUACUGCAUAACUACUGUUGUGUAGUCAAAGAAGGCCUCUGUUUACAAGCUUUUGCUGAAAGAUGAGUCCGCGUACCAUUAGCUAGUUGGUAGGGUAAUGGCCUACCAAGGCUACGAUGGUUAGCUGGUCUGAGAGGAUGAUCAGCCACACUGGAACUGAGACACGGUCCAGACUCCUACGGGAGGCAGCAGUGAGGAAUAUUGCGCAAUGGGGGCAACCCUGACGCAGCAACGCCGCGUGAGUGAGGAAGGUUUUCGGACCGUAAAGCUCUGUCGAGUGGGAAGAAAUGUAUUGUGGCUAAUAUCCAUGAUAUUUGACGGUACCGCUAAAGGAAGCACUGGCUAACUCCGUGCCAGCAGCCGCGGUAAUACGGGGGGUGCAAGCGUUGUUCGGAAUUAUUGGGCGUAAAGAGCGUGUAGGCGGCUGAAUAAGUCAGAUGUGAAAUCCCUGGGCUUAACCCAGGAAGUGCAUUUGAAACUAUUCAGCUUGAGUAGGGGAGAGGAAAGUGGAAUUCCUGGUGUAGAGGUGAAAUUCGUAGAUAUCAGGAGGAACACCGGUGGCGAAGGCGACUUUCUGGCCCUAUACUGACGCUGAGACGCGAGAGCGUGGGUAGCAAACAGGAUUAGAUACCCUGGUAGUCCACGCUGUAAACGAUGUUCACUAGGUGUUGGGGGUAUUGACCCUCUCAGUGCCGCAGCUAACGCAUUAAGUGAACCGCCUGGGGAGUACGGUCGCAAGAUUAAAACUCAAAGGAAUUGACGG
This 933-nucleotide ribosomal RNA is filed under the name uncultured bacterium. RNAcentral describes it as "bacterial SSU rRNA". It matches the Rfam family "Bacterial small subunit ribosomal RNA", at positions 8 to 916 of the family's 1533-position model. The record is from RNAcentral.